GUGGAGGUAGAAGGCCUACGGGUCAUUAACUUCUUUUCCCUGAGAAAAAGCAAUGAUGAUAUCAGAGAAAUAAGCAUCAAAUAACUCUGUGCCAGCAGCCACAGCAAUACAGAGGAUGC
Molecule: non-coding RNA, 119 nt
Filed under: Populus trichocarpa (black cottonwood)
Lineage: Eukaryota; Viridiplantae; Streptophyta; Magnoliopsida; Malpighiales; Salicaceae
Also listed under: 1 other name
Description: Bacterial small subunit ribosomal RNA
Rfam family: Bacterial small subunit ribosomal RNA
Source: Rfam by way of RNAcentral